RNAcentral lists this ribosomal RNA (100 nucleotides) under Staphylococcus aureus. Its description in RNAcentral is "partial 16S ribosomal RNA". It matches the Rfam family "Bacterial small subunit ribosomal RNA", at positions 1 to 94 of the family's 1533-position model. Lineage: Bacteria; Bacillati; Bacillota; Bacilli; Caryophanales; Staphylococcaceae. The record is from RNAcentral.
AUUUUUAUGGAGAGUUUGAUCCUGGCUCAGGAUGAACGCUGGCGGCGUGCCUAAUACAUGCAAGUCGAGCGAACGGACGAGAAGCUUGCUUCUCUGAUGU